Papaver somniferum (opium poppy) is the source of this 3268-nucleotide long non-coding RNA. RefSeq lists it as uncharacterized. NCBI's taxonomy places the organism in Eukaryota, Viridiplantae, Streptophyta, Magnoliopsida, Ranunculales, Papaveraceae. The record is from RefSeq and is a predicted model, not a curated record. The transcript has 5 exons.
CUGGGGGCGUGUACUACUUGCAAGCUGCAAUUGACUAACAUCACCAAAUGGCUUGAGGCAGUGGCUUUGGUGAGAAUGGAGGCGGGACACACACGUCCACAAAUUCAUCUGAAAAAACAAAUACUUAGUUGGAACAUCUAAUACCUUUAAAAUCCUAAGCUCCUUAAGCUCCACGCAGUAAUCUCUGGACUAAAGACUCCACUGCCGAAGAAGAAAAACCUUAUCGCGAUCCAAAUCUCUCAAGUCGUACCCAAAAAUCGUCUCUACAUCUUCGACAAGAGAAGAAAGAAGAAGAAAAACCCGUUGUUGUUAUAAAUUGAAGUUAGGGGACCAUUCUGAUGAAGAAUCACAAAACCAGGUAAUUUAGGGUUUCUUUAAUUAACUCUGUAUAAUUAGAUGGGUUUAUAAUUUGAUCAAAUUAUGAUGGGUUUGCUCUUGAUUGAAGUAUAAUUAGAUGUAUUGGGCUCAAUUUAAGAUUCUUUAAGAAUUAGGUGAAGGGGUUUUUUUUGGUUCGACUGCAAUCUCUUCGCCAGAUCUUUGAAGCGAAAUUUGAAGAAUCCCUGAUGAUAUCUCCGAUUUUCGUUUUUUUGGGUCAUUGGUGUGUUGCUUCAUAAAAUAUGUCUUUUAAGGUAUAUCACUUUUCUCUUUACUUCUCUGCUUUUCAGUUUUUCAAUUCUAAGUUCUGUAUAGAGUGGUAAAGUAAGCCCGAUUGGAUAUCUUUUAUAUGUUAUUUGGCCUUCAAUUGAUUUGGAGAUCUUUAUAGACAGACAUCACUUGAAAUUCAACCUGGUGAGUCCCCCUCAUUUGCAUUCGUUAGAUGCCCUGUGAUUCUCCUAAUUAAGGCUUUCUUAGUUAUGAAAUCCGAAGGUAUUAUUACUUAUUAGAGUUUGCUUCUUCUUCGUCAUAAACUGAUGAUCAGGUAAACUGGAAUCAUCAUCUCUCUUAUAUCAUGUUCGUAGAAUGGAAUCAUCAUCUCUCUUAUAUCAUGUUCUUAUUUUCUUUUUUUCAUAUCUGUUUCCUAACAAACCGUGGAUCAUGGGUUCUCAUUAAUCUGUAGAUUGUUUAGUUAAAUGAUCAACGCAUUCAGGCUAAGUUUUAUUAGCUAUUGAUUUAUAUUUCGUAUUGUUUUUAUAUAUUGCAGGUGAUUAUGCAUGGAUUAAUUCUUAGAUUUUGUUUGUUGUCAUGCUGUUUAAUUACCUAAUCUAUUUGAAUUAACGAGUUCUUUCAGUUUUCUUUCUUUUAAAAGAGUUCCCUGUAUCUGUGGGUGUAGGAUAGGCAUAGAAAGUGUGAGACAAAGCCAAAGUCUAAAAUUUUCUCCUGUAUUCUUUUUAUGUAAUCUCUCCUGAUUUUUGCUCCACCGCAAAGGACCUUGAUUGACGAUGGAAGCCACGCAAAAUGGUUUGAUUACAGAAAAGAACCAUUUCAUAUAAUUGCAUCAUCCAUUGAGGAAGCAAAGUAAGAGGUUACCAAUCAGUUAUACGUAAUACCACAGCCGAAAUCUUAUGAAGUUAAUCAAGUAUUGUAACUAUCUUCUAAUAAUUAUUGAACUGAAUUGAUAUUUUUCUUUGAGUUUGUUGAUCAGGAGGGUAACAUUAACAUAAUUGGUUCAGGUGCAAUUGAUGCGGCAAAAGAUGUUAUACUUACCCCAAUCUCUAUAGAUAUACCAUGGCAGCGACAAAUAUUCAAUGGUAGCAUUGACAGAUUUUUUAGGUAGCCAUGGCAUGGGUAGUGGAGUACUCCAUGAUUCCUUCUAUCUGUUGCAACUGUUGCAUCAGACCUCUGCAACAGUUUAUGUACCAAGAAACCUCUCUGGAAAGUAACAGUCUGUGGAUGAAGUUGUAACCAAGUUUGGGGAUCACCAAUUGGAAAGCUUAAAAAAUCCAAGCAAUAAGGAGACUGCAGAUAUGUAGGUAUGUAACUACAUAGAACAAGAGCUUGAGAAUGUAACAGUAGAGCUUCCGAAGUAUAAAAAAGAGUCUGAGGGUGGCGGAUCCGAAUGAAGAACCCAAUUAUAGUAGAGCUAAAUUAUGAUCCUAGAGAGAACAGAGAUUGAAGAGUGCCAUGCGAAAAAGGAAUCAUAAAUAGUCAGGCUUAGAGUAGAAGCAAUGCAAUGGGGGGUUGGUGAAGAGGUUAAGUCUGGUGUAGGUUUCGAUUGAUCUUUAUGCAAUUUUAUGAGUAUUGUACUAUUUCGGUCCACGUACGUAGUGCCGGUUAUUUAGAUGGUAGUGAUUUCCUUACAAUUUUGUUUGUCUGCAGUAAUAUUUUCGUUACAUCCAAGGAUUAGAUGUCUGCAGAUAUGUACCUUAUGGUUGGAAUAACAAGCAAUAGUUGGCAUAUAAAUGAUGAUGAGGAGGAAAUCCGAUAUCUAUAGAGACCAAAAACUUGCAAAUACUUCAAGGAAACAAAUGCGUGCUCAUUUACAUCCCGAGGUCUCAACAUGCAUGUUUUCGUGGUUUUCAGGGACGAUUAAGCAAUCUUCCAAGAGUGUUUUGAUUCAAUAAAAGUUUUUUGCAAGUCAAGUCCAUGGCAUGGGUUCUUCGCUGGUCAUGUCCUCACCACUACUUUUUUUGAACUUGGGUGUAACUGAGACUGCUAGACAGAUAGAAAACAAGAAGGUAGGAGACAAUUCCAAUGGUAGUUUCACUUCACAAAUAUUCUCAUUUGUUGCCUAUCUAAUGAUUAAUUACCAUUUACGAAAUCCGAACCUCAAAUUUUGACAAAUGACAUGUGAAGAAAAGCAAGAUGUGGUGACAAGAUGUGCCUCUGUAAGAAUGUUUAGUUGAAACAUGAUAUGGAGUUGGCAUUUUGCAAUAACCCUUUGGACAAUCCUUAUCCAACAUUGUACAAGCUAGCAGCUGACAAAUUUCACUAAUGAUGAAGUGGGUGAUCUCUGCACUUUUUUUUCAACUGAAUUUGCUCAAUCCCUCCUUCAGUCCUCUUUCUUUCGGCCACCAAUGGUUUUUAAGUGGAAAGACAAACAACAAACCCUUCUCACUGAAAUCAUGUCAUAUCUGCAUGACGCGAGAAAGAAUAUUGCUCAUUGAUCUCGAGCCUAGCUACACUUUAAAGUGUGUCUGUUAUUCUUUUUCUUACUUUCUUUUGUUUCCAUGAACAUACAUUCUUUCUAAUACAUCUUAGUUCAGUUAAGGCAUGGGUGUUUGUGAACUGAAAUUUGUACUCAGAACAGCCCUGAGUACUCCCUUUGUCGAUGUUGUUGUGGUGAUGUGAGUUUUGCUUAAUUCAGGUCAUGCGCUUAUAUUUUUAAUAA